This is a long non-coding RNA of Gekko japonicus, 246 nucleotides long. RefSeq lists it as uncharacterized. NCBI's taxonomy places the organism in Eukaryota, Metazoa, Chordata, Lepidosauria, Squamata, Gekkonidae. The transcript has 3 exons. The record is from RefSeq and is a predicted model, not a curated record.
UGUACUAUCCCUUGCAGGUGAAUUCAUGGGGAUCUACAACACAGCAUUGUCUGAGUGUUGCUGGGCAGCAGACAGCCAGAGGGUUGUGCUGGACACAGCUCAGCGCAGUAGGCAGGAGCUGAUUGUGGUGGAUACGCUGUCAGGCAGUGUGUGUUCUCUCACCAAGGGGUCUCCUCUUGGAAGCUGGACGCUGCUCACUAUUGACAGGGAUCUGGUGGUGGCCAAAUUCUCUACUCCAAGCUGUCC